AUCCAGGUUACGAGUCCCGAUUAGGACGAAAUGCGCGUCCUGGAU
This 45-nucleotide non-coding RNA is filed under the name Schistosoma margrebowiei. Lineage: Eukaryota; Metazoa; Platyhelminthes; Trematoda; Strigeidida; Schistosomatidae. The record is from RNAcentral.